RNAcentral lists this ribosomal RNA (377 nucleotides) under uncultured eukaryote. RNAcentral describes it as "partial 18S ribosomal RNA". It matches the Rfam family "Eukaryotic small subunit ribosomal RNA", at positions 592 to 976 of the family's 1831-position model. The record is from RNAcentral.
CAAUAGCGUAUAUUAAAGUUGUUGCAGUUAAAAAGCUCGUAGUUGGAUUUCGGGGUGGCCUGGCUGGUCCGCCGCAAGGUGAGUACUGGUCAGCCGCCCUUCCUCUCGAAAGCCCCGACUGCUCUUUACUGCAGUGGUCGGGUAGUUCGGGACGUUUACUUUGAAAAAAUUAGAGGGUUCAAGGCAGGCUAUCGCCUGAAUACAUUAGCAUGGAAUAAUGGAAGAGGACCUCGGUCCUAUUUUGUUGGUUUCUAGGGCCGAAGUAAUGAUUAAGAGGGACAGUUGGGGGCAUUCGUAUUUAAUUGUCAGAGGUGAAAUUCUUGGAUUUAUGAAAGACGAACUAGUGCGAAAGCAUUUGCCAAGGAUGUUUUCAUUAA